Molecule: ribosomal RNA, 396 nt
Filed under: uncultured Polynucleobacter sp.
Lineage: Bacteria; Pseudomonadati; Pseudomonadota; Betaproteobacteria; Burkholderiales; Burkholderiaceae
Description: bacterial SSU rRNA
Rfam family: Bacterial small subunit ribosomal RNA
Source: RNAcentral
AGCUGAGUUUGAUCCUGGCUCAGAUUGAACGCUGGCGGCAUGCCUUACACAUGCAAGUCAAACGGCAGCACGGGUGCUUGCACCUGGUGGCGAGUGGCGAACGGGUGAGUAAUACAUCGGAACGUACCUUAUCGUGGGGGAUAACGCAGCGAAAGUUGCGCUAAUACCGCAUACGCCCUGAGGGGGAAAGCGGGGGUACCGUAAGGCCUCGCGCGAUUAGAGCGGCCGAUGUCUGAUUAGCUUGUUGGUGAGGUAAAGGCUCACCAAGGCGACGAUCUUUAGCUGGUCUGAGAGGAUGAUCAGCCACACUGGGACUGAGACACGGCCCAGACUCCUACGGGGAGGCAGCAGUGGGGGAAUAUUGCACAAUGGGCGCAAGCCUGAUGCAGCGACGCC